RNAcentral lists this ribosomal RNA (465 nucleotides) under uncultured bacterium. Its description in RNAcentral is "partial 16S ribosomal RNA". It matches the Rfam family "Bacterial small subunit ribosomal RNA", at positions 28 to 507 of the family's 1533-position model. The record is from RNAcentral.
GACGAACGCUGGCGGCGUGCUUAACACAUGCAAGUCGAACGGAAAGGCCCCCUUGUGGGGUACUCGAGUGGCGAACGGGUGAGUAACACGUGAGUAACCUACCCUUGACUUUGGGAUAACUUCAGGAAACUGGGGCUAAUACCGGAUAGGAGCUCCUGCUGCAUGGUGGGGGUUGGAAAGUUUCGGCGGUUGGGGAUGGACUCGCGGCUUAUCAGCUUGUUGGUGGGGUAGUGGCUCACCAAGGCUUUGACGGGUAGCCGGCCUGAGAGGGUGACCAGCCACAUUGGGACUGAGAUACGGCCCAGACUCCUACGGGAGGCAGCAGUGGGGAAUAUUGCACAAUGGGCGGAAGCCUGAUGCAGCAACGCCGCGUGCGGGAUGACGGCCUUCGGGUUGUAAACCGCUUUCGCCUGUGACGAAGCGUGAGUGACGGUAAUGGGUAAAGAAGCACCGGCUAACUACGUG